RNAcentral lists this transfer RNA (63 nucleotides) under Triatoma infestans. Its description in RNAcentral is "tRNA-Arg". Lineage: Eukaryota; Metazoa; Arthropoda; Insecta; Hemiptera; Reduviidae. The record is from RNAcentral.
AGUAGUGAAGUAAAAAUUACAUUUAGUUUCGACCUAAAAAUCAGAGGUAUCCCCUCCUUACUU